CUGUAUUUGGUUUAAGCUCGACUACGGAUACUACUCGAUUAUUAUUAUUAUUAUUAUUAUUAUUAUUAUUAUUAUUAUUAGUGCUACCGUCAAUCAGGAUGAUUAGACACACACACGGAGGUUACGUGUCGGAAUCGGAGUCGGAGGAGUCCGAUGAGCUGCGCGCGAGCUCCAUGAACGCGCAGCUGCGCCAGGAGAAUAAAGCGCUGAAGAGUCACGUGGAGCGUCUGCAGAUCUUACUGUCCGACGUCCCACAUUUUGAAGAAGAGAAGCGCACCAUGCUGGAGGCCCUCCAUCAGUCCUGCGUGAGAGAGCCGAACGUGAAGGAGCGCUUGAAAGAGGAGGAGAGGGAGAACGAGUGUAUCGAGGACGCGCUCGCGGAUCUGACGUACAUCCUGAGAUCUGAAAAGCCUAGGCAAAUAAAAUUAGUGACUCUCAAGCGAGAGGUGCUCACAGCCAAAUGUUGCGUGGAGGACAUGCAGAUCAGCCUCGACGAGAGAGAUGAGAUCAUCAGGAGGAAAGACGCAGAGUUAGUGGAACUAUUCGCCUUUCUCAAGGACUGCUCUGUGCACGCGGAGGGAAUCGCAGCGCGCAUCGAGGAUGCAGAAAAAGCGGUGCGCGCGGUCAGGGAGCGCGAGGUAAAGGAGCCUUUGCGCGUGCGGGACGUACAGGCAUGCGAAGUGAAGUGGAAGAAGACUCCUACAGCUCCAGUGAAGAGAGUUCAGAGUGAAGUGAGACAGUCCAGAGUGAAUGGCAUGCUGGUUACAGUGUGCUGCUUCGCCCUCACACUGAUCUUCAUGCUCUUCUUUACUUUCUCCGUUUUACUGCCAUUCAGCUGUGAAGACAGCCUGGCCAUCACGUGCACUGAGGCCAUCCUGGACAGUGUGGAGGAGCUUAGAGUGCCUUUCCGUACUGCUGAUUGUACUGCGUAACUACGAACUUGAUUCUUCAAUGAUAACAGAGAAAGAGAGAGAGAGAGAGAGUGAGAGAUCAUUAGGAGGAAGGAUGCAGAGAUGGAAGAAUGAUUAUCUUUUCCAGGAGAAACAGUGGAGGAGGAAAAGAGGACAGCUGUUAAAAAGAAAAGCGCAGCCUUUCCAGGAACUGAACUUAGAGCAGAAGGCUGGAUCUGACAACCCAAAAUACUUUCCCUCCAUCCUCUAUACCGCUUAAUCCUCUUCAGGGUCACAGGGAAACCUGGAGUUUCCAUCCCAUGGACCAUGGGGCACAAGGCAGAGUACACCCUGGACAGGGUGCCAGUCCAUCGCAGGGCACACUCACAUACCCAUUCAUACACUACAGACACUUUGGACAUGCCAAUCAGCCUACCGUGCAUGUCUUUAGACUGGGGAAAAGGGAGUACGGAGGAAAACCCCGCAGUACGGGGAGAACAUGCAAACUCUACACACACAGGGCCACAGUGGGAAUCAAACCCCUGACCCUGGAGGUGUGAGGCGAACGUGCUAACCACUAAGCCACCGUGCGCCCCCAAAAUCUACCAGUGUGUUUGUGUGAGUGUCUUCAGUGUGAACAGCACGGAGACCUGAGGUGUGCCAGUGCUCAGUAUGACCGUGCAGGAAGUGUCCCAUCCGAUCUGAACAGUGUGGUCAUUUAGUCAGGAGGUCCAGGAGCCAGCUGCAGAGGGACGGAGUGAAGCCCAGCAGUAAGCGCUUUAUCCGGAGCUUAUCCUGGGAACACUCUGGGGGAACACACCCUGGAUGACUGCUGUGAGGAGACAACAUUACCUGCUGAACAACUCUCCCACCUAAUGAAUGAACCAACAAAACAAAUAAAUGAAUAUAUUUUCAUGUUCUUGUUGUUUUCCCACUUAUUAUUAUUAUUGUUGUUGUUGUUGUUGUUGUUAAAAAGGGUCAGUGAGGGUUGUUUUU
This is a long non-coding RNA of Ictalurus punctatus (channel catfish), 1886 nucleotides long. The record is from Ensembl. NCBI's taxonomy places the organism in Eukaryota, Metazoa, Chordata, Actinopteri, Siluriformes, Ictaluridae.